This 492-nucleotide ribosomal RNA is filed under the name uncultured bacterium. RNAcentral's name for it is "partial 16S ribosomal RNA". It matches the Rfam family "Bacterial small subunit ribosomal RNA", at positions 30 to 507 of the family's 1533-position model. The record is from RNAcentral.
AUUGAACGCUGGCGGCAUGCUUUACACAUGCAAGUCGAACGGUAACAGGCCUUCGGGUGCUGACGAGUGGCGAACGGGUGAGUAAUGCAUCGGAACGUACCCAGAGGUGGGGGAUAACGCAGCGAAAGCUGUGCUAAUACCGCAUGUGAUCUGAGGAUGAAAGCGGGGGACCGAGCAGCAAUGUUUGGCCUCGCGCCUUUGGAGCGGCCGAUGUCGGAUUAGCUAGUUGUUGGGGUAAAGGCCUACCAAGGCGACGAUCCGUAGCUGGUCUGAGAGGACGACCAGCCACACUGGGACUGAGACACGGCCCAGACUCCUACGGGAGGCAGCAGUGGGGAAUUUUGGACAAUGGGCGCAAGCCUGAUCCAGCAAUGCCGCGUGCGGGAAGAAGGCCUUCGGGUUGUAAACCGCUUUUGGCAGGAACGAAGCGGUGUCCGCUAAUACCGGGCGCUAAUGACGGUACCUGCAGAAUAAGCACCGGCUAACUACGUG